Non-coding RNA from Podarcis lilfordi (Lilford's wall lizard), 568 nucleotides. The record is from the annotation of a GenBank genome assembly. NCBI's taxonomy places the organism in Eukaryota, Metazoa, Chordata, Lepidosauria, Squamata, Lacertidae.
UUUAAAUCCACCGAAUCCUUAUUAGACAAGGAAAUUGGGCAGAGCUGCCUGACUUAGAAGCCUCCUGCUUUAAGAAUCAUGCAGCCCGGCCUAAGUGGAGGAGGAAGAUUUGCUUAUGCACGUCUUGGGGACCCUCAGAAAUGAGAGGAGCGCUGCCAUUUUCUCAGCACACUUGGAAUUGACCAGAACUGAAGUCAGCAAACAUCCAUGGAACGCAAGACACACCCCACCCUCCCAACAGAGAACCAGAGAAAAAGUCAAGCCAAGGUAGGGUGUUUGGUUUUUUUUUUCUUUUUUCUAAAAUCCAUGAUUAAAACCUGGUACAAACAGGUGAAUAUAUAGAUAUAUUUCUUUUAGUAGAUGUAAUAUUUUUUUUCCUUUCUCUUGCUCUCUCUCUCUCAUUAUACAGCAAACAUUUGCAAAUAUAGAAUUUCUUUUUCUCUCUGUACAAUAGAGCGGUGUCGGUUUUUACAAGGCGACACACAGUACCUUUUCACGAAAGAAAUGCACAAAUGGGACUUCAGGCGGUUCAUAGUCUAAACUGGAAGACUCCAUUUGCAAAAGGCCC